UAAAUAAGGCCUCAACAGGCCACAGGAAGCCUUGUGCACUGAUACAAAUGGGCCAACAUAUUACUGAAGAGCUAGAAAGGAAAAUAAAAACAAAAAAAAAAUGCCAGGACAUCCAGAUGAUGGUAAAAAUAAGCUUGGAAGGUGACAGGAACUCAGAGCUCAGUCCUUCAGAGAAAAGGAUGCCACCAUGCGGCUGCAGCCUUCAGCCAGUCACUAGAGUAUAUGUCUACAGAGAAGAAUUGCACUCUAGCAG
This is a long non-coding RNA of Protopterus annectens (West African lungfish), 253 nucleotides long. RefSeq lists it as uncharacterized. The record is from RefSeq and is a predicted model, not a curated record. NCBI's taxonomy places the organism in Eukaryota, Metazoa, Chordata, Ceratodontiformes, Protopteridae. The transcript is spliced from 3 exons.